This 391-nucleotide small RNA is filed under the name Vigna angularis var. angularis. RNAcentral describes it as "Non-protein coding transcript". The record is from RNAcentral. Lineage: Eukaryota; Viridiplantae; Streptophyta; Magnoliopsida; Fabales; Fabaceae.
GGGUGUGAUUUUUCUCCAAAACCAUUUCCUCUCUCUAAAACUUCAACAAAUACUUCCUGACUUCUCUCUAGAUUUCCAGCACCUGGAACCAUAGGAAUUCAAUUCUGAUGCUACCAUGGCCUCCGCGGAGUAGAGGGCUUCAUUUCAACCGAACGUUUUCGUCGUUCUGAUCAGGGCAGAGUUCUUGGCUGUAGGAUGGUUGUGCUUGGAGAAAACCAGAUGUUGUCGCGGAGAUUCCCUUGGAGCAAGAGCUGAAGGUUACUGAUGUUGCGAAGUAGUCUUCUUAGAAUUUCCUGAUUGAACACUUGUAGUGUUUAAUCCUUUCAACUGUUCAAGUUUAAAAUUUUUGUUUCUUUUAUUUCUGGAUGACUGUAAUUUCACAUUUAAUUAC